UGGGGAAUCUUGCGCAAUGCGCGAAAGCGUGACGCAGCAACGCCGCGUGGGGGAAGAAGGCCUUCGGGUUGUAAACCCCUUUCAGGAGGGACGAAGGCACGGCGGCGAACAGCCGGCCGUGCUGACGGUACCUCCACAAGAAGCCCCGGCUAACUACGUGCCAGCAGCCGCGGUAAUACGUAGGGGGCUAGCGUUGUCCGGAAUCAUUGGGCGUAAAGCGCACGUAGGCGGCCCGGUAAGUCCGCUGUGAAAGUCAAAGGCUCAACCUUUGAACGCCGGUGGAUACUGUCGGGCUAGAGUCCGGAAGAGGCGAGUGGAAUUCCUGGUGUAGCGGUGGAAUGCGCAGAUAUCAGGAGGAACACCUAUAGCGAAGGCAGCUCGCUGGGACGGUACUGACGCUCAGGUGCGAAAGCGUGGGGAGCGAACAGGAUUAGAUACCCCCGUAGUCC
Molecule: ribosomal RNA, 449 nt
Filed under: uncultured prokaryote
Description: bacterial SSU rRNA
Rfam family: Bacterial small subunit ribosomal RNA
Source: RNAcentral